Molecule: ribosomal RNA, 271 nt
Filed under: uncultured bacterium
Lineage: Bacteria
Description: partial 16S ribosomal RNA
Rfam family: Bacterial small subunit ribosomal RNA
Source: RNAcentral
UUGACUGAGUGGCGGACGGGUGAGUAACGCGUGGGUAACCUGCCUUAUACAGGGGGAGUAACAGUUAGAAAUGACUGCUAAUACCGCAUAAGACCACAGGACCGCAUGGUCCAGUGGUAAAAACUCCGGUGGUAUGAGAUGGACCCGCGUCUGAUUAGCUAGUUGGUAAGGUAAACGGCUUACCAAGGCGACGAUCAGUAGCCGACCCUGAGAGGGUGACCGGCCACAUUGGGACUGAGACACGGCCCAAACUCCUACGGGAGGCAGCAUG